CGUAGGAGGCGAGCGUUAUCCGGAUUCACUGGGCGUAAAGCGCGUGCAGGUGGCUUGGUAAGUUAGGCGUGAAAUCUCCCGGCUCAACUGGGAGAGGUCGUCUAAUACUACCGGGCUAGAGAGCAGAAGAGGAAGAUGGAAUUCCCGGUGUAGUGGUGAAAUGCGUAGAUAUCGGGAGGAACACCAGUGGCGAAGGCGAUCUUCUGGUCUGUUUCUGACACUCAGACGCGACAGCUAGGGUAGUAAACGGGAUUAGGGACCCCGGUAAUCCUAGCCGUAAACGAUGUGAACUUGGCGUUGGUGGGUUAAACUCCAUCAGUGCCGAAGCAAACGCGAUAAGUUCACCGCCUGGGGACUACGGCCGCAAGGUUA
RNAcentral lists this ribosomal RNA (372 nucleotides) under uncultured organism. Its description in RNAcentral is "bacterial SSU rRNA". It matches the Rfam family "Bacterial small subunit ribosomal RNA", at positions 526 to 896 of the family's 1533-position model. The record is from RNAcentral.